GCUGGGUGCAGUGGUGCACACCUGUAAUCCCUGCUACUCAGGAGGCUGAGGCAGGAAAAUCACAAGUUUGAAACCAACCAAACCAACUUAACUUUGAGAUCCUGUCUCAA
RNAcentral lists this small RNA (110 nucleotides) under Marmota monax (woodchuck). The record is from RNAcentral. Lineage: Eukaryota; Metazoa; Chordata; Mammalia; Rodentia; Sciuridae.